UACGUAGGGGGCGAGCGUUGUCCGGAAUUACUGGGCGUAAAGGGUGCGUAGGCGGCCUGAUAAGUCAGAUGUGAAAUACCAGGGCUCAACCCUGGGGGUGCAUUUGAAACUGUUGGGCUUGAGUGCAGGAGAGGAAAGUGGAAUUCCUGGUGUAGCGGUGGAAUGCGCAGAUAUCGGGAGGAACACCGGUGGCGAAGGCGGCUUUCUGGCCAGUUACUGACGCUCAUGCGCGAAAGCUGGGGUAGCGAACCGGAUUAGAUACCCGUGUAGU
Molecule: ribosomal RNA, 271 nt
Filed under: uncultured prokaryote
Description: partial 16S ribosomal RNA
Rfam family: Bacterial small subunit ribosomal RNA
Source: RNAcentral